RNAcentral lists this ribosomal RNA (378 nucleotides) under uncultured eukaryote. Its description in RNAcentral is "partial 18S ribosomal RNA". It matches the Rfam family "Eukaryotic small subunit ribosomal RNA", at positions 592 to 976 of the family's 1831-position model. The record is from RNAcentral.
CAAUAGCGUAUAUUAAAGUUGUUGCAGUUAAAAAGCUCGUAGUUGGAUUUGUGGUUCGUCCCGCCGGCUGGGUCAUUGACCUUUGCUGUGCUGGUCGUCCAUCCUUGGGUGGAAUCUGUGUGGCAUUAGGUUGUCGCGCAGGGGAUGCCCAUCGUUUACUGUGAAAAAAUUAGAGUGUUCAAAGCAGGCUUAUGCCAUUGAAUAUAUUAGCAUGGAAUAAUGAUAUAGGACCUUGGUACUAUUUUGUUGGUUUGCGCACUGAGGUAAUGAUUAAUAGGGACAGUUGGGGGUAUUCGUAUUCCAUUGUAAGAGGUGAAAUUCUUGGAUUUUUGGAAGACGAACUACUGCGAAAGCAUUUACCAAGGAUGUUUUCAUUAA